This 227-nucleotide long non-coding RNA is filed under the name Elaeis guineensis (African oil palm). RNAcentral describes it as "long non-coding RNA (EGUI_LNC022731)". Lineage: Eukaryota; Viridiplantae; Streptophyta; Magnoliopsida; Arecales; Arecaceae. The record is from RNAcentral.
CAAGAUUGAAGAAGAUAGAGAAGUUAGGUGCAAUCAAGAUGAAGAUCAAGUGUGAAGGAUUGAUCGAUGCUCUCUUAUGCAAGGAGAAGUCAUUUAUUAUGAAUGAUGCUAGUGAGAGACCAGUAUGAGGUGGAGCUCCAAGUAAAGGUGGAUGGGGCACGAGAUGGAAGAUUCGAGAGGAUGAUAAGCAACGUCAUCAGAAUGCUAUCUCGAGUAGGUCUUAGGUU